UCAUAGCUGCAGGAUGGAGGUGGGAGGAGUCUGGCGGAGCUCAGGGUGAUGAGACAGGGCAGUGAGGACCGUGCCUGGGAUCAAUAACCUCUCCACAGGCUGCCUUCUCUCCAGCUCCGGGAGCCUGACUGGGGGCUGCAAGGCAGGGAUGAGAGAGUAACUGAGGUGUCUAGGACUGUGUAGGACAGGUCUCCUGGUGCUGGAAGGAACGUGGGCCUAGAUCUAGUCAGGACGAGAAGAGGCUGACUGGGAGCUGAGAUUCUGAGUCUCAGUUCCGUCUAUAUUGGCCACGUGACUUUGUAGUCAUUCGGCUCUUAGCUUUCCUGUCACCGAAACAAGGCAGCAAUAAACACCUUCGAGGCCCAACAUGCCAGGGCGGACGUGAGGACAAAACCGGAUAUUACUCAAAUGUUAUGUUCAUUGCUGAACAGCAAGGUUUUCCCUUUUCUUAAGUGCUGAGGGACAAAAAUAAUUAUGAAGUUACCGGGGUGGUAAUUACUGCUGUGCUGUGUGGAGAAGCCCUCAUUUAUAGCAGGUGCACAUCUCCAAAGCUGCGUCAGCUACCCACAGGGUAUGUGUGUGGGAACAUCACCCUCGAGCUGACAGUGACGAUCCUGUGAGUGAGCAAGCAUUUCCAAGCACCUGGGGCCUCGUCCUGGGCUUCCUCACGCCUGGUCCUUGCUAGCUCUUCCGUGCUCAGGGAAUCUGCCUUGGGGACAUCAGCCGUUGCUGCCUAACUGGUUGUAGUGCAGUUGUUCUAGCUGGAUCGAAGAAGAGGGCAUCAGAUCGCAUUAUAGAUGGUUAUGAGUCACCACAAGCUUGCUGGGAAUUGAACUCUGGACCUCGGGAGCAGCAGCCAGUGCUCAUAAUCUCUGACCAACAAAAGACCAACAAAAACAUACGUAAUUCUUCAAAUUCACCCACUCAUUCUUGUUAAUACUCUGGUUCUCUCGCUGAACCUGGGGCACGUGAGUUUGCUCUUCUGAUUGGCCAGCAGACUCCUGGAAUUCACCUAUCUCUACCUCCUCAGUGCUGGGACUACGGGUGGACCACUGUGUCUUUUUCUUUCCUCUUUCCUGUUUAUACGGACGCCAAGGAUGUGAAUUCAGCUUGCAAAGCAAGCGCUGAGCUUACCUCCAAAUCCUCCCUGUCAUUCCUCACAGCACCUCUAUCCCCCCCAGAAACCUUUCAAAGAGUAACAUUUCAAUUUAGAAUAGCUUUUAAUUAAAAGAAGUUAAUUGCCAACAGCAUCUAGAAUUCCCAUUUACUUUGUUUAUUAAUAACACUUGAAAUUAAUAUGGCAUUUUUUUCUUUUUCUUUUCUUUUUUAUAAUUGAUGUUUACUGAGCUCUACAUUUUUCUCUGCUCCCCUCCCUGCCUCUCCCCUCCCCCUUC
Arvicola amphibius (Eurasian water vole) is the source of this 1394-nucleotide long non-coding RNA. RefSeq lists it as uncharacterized. The record is from RefSeq and is a predicted model, not a curated record. The transcript is spliced from 4 exons. Lineage: Eukaryota; Metazoa; Chordata; Mammalia; Rodentia; Cricetidae.